UCUCUCUGAAUCUGCGAACGGCUCCGCAAACCAGUUGUAAACUAUAGCAAGCAAUCCUGUGGCUGGGUUUCGGCCUGGUCAUGGGUAAAAUGGAUAACCAUGGUAAUUCUGAGGCUAAUACAAGAACGUACUCCCUGGCUGACCGGCAACGGAAGGCUGGGGAGCGUGCAACGUAUCGUAAGACAAACCGGGAAUGGGUGCACGCUUGGACCGCGCAAAAAACAGAUCUUGGCGAGCCUUCGGGUGAGCCUUGGCCUGAGCGGCUCUUGCUGUGUGCUUCUGACCUAUCAACUAGAUGGCAGCGUAACGGACAUGCUAUGGUUACAACGGGUACAGAGGAUUAGGGUUCGAUCCUGGAGAGUGGGCCUGAGAGAUU
This 376-nucleotide ribosomal RNA is filed under the name Polyschismium alpestroides. RNAcentral describes it as "SSU rRNA". It matches the Rfam family "Eukaryotic small subunit ribosomal RNA", at positions 76 to 405 of the family's 1831-position model. The record is from RNAcentral. Lineage: Eukaryota; Evosea; Eumycetozoa; Physariida; Didymiaceae.